AAAAAAUGUUGUCCUUUCUUUGUUUGUCAAAAGGGACAAGUAAAAAAGGAAAAUUGGACAAGUAAUUAGACACAAAUGUAGUACUUAAUUAUUUAGAUAUCUUGUUCUUCAAAUAGGCAGUCCUUUUGAUAGACGCAAAAUCUAGAGAAGGAACGCACCUCAAUGGAGUAGGCAAUCUACCCCACGGAGACAACUUUACUGUCACUCCAAGACUCAGCAGUGGAGGAAAAAAAACAUUGGA
RNAcentral lists this unclassified non-coding RNA (241 nucleotides) under Hevea brasiliensis (rubber tree). Lineage: Eukaryota; Viridiplantae; Streptophyta; Magnoliopsida; Malpighiales; Euphorbiaceae. The record is from RNAcentral.